UAAGGAAUAUUGGACAAUGGACGCAAGUCUGAUCCAGCCACGCCGCGUGAAGGAUGACUGCCCUCUGGGUUGUAAACUUCUUUUAUAGGGGAAGAAAGUUAUUUUUUAGGAUAUUUGACGGUACCCUAUGAAUAAGCACCGGCUAACUCCGUGCCAGCAGCCGCGGUAAUACGGAGGGUGCAAGCGUUAUCCGGAUUCACUGGGUUUAAAGGGUGCGUAGGCGGGUAUGUAAGUCAGUGGUGAAAUACCGGAGCUUAACUUCGGAACUGCCAUUGAUACUAUAUAUCUUGAAUAUUGUGGAGGUAGCGGAAUAUGUCAUGUAGCGGUGAAAUGCUUNGAGAUGACAUAGAACACCGAUUGCGAAGGCAGCUUGCUACGCAAAUAUUGACGCUGAGGCACGAAAGCGUGGGGAUCAAACAGGAUUAGAUACCCUGUAGUCCACGCCCUAAACGAUGAUUACUCGACAUUAGCGAUACACAGUUAGUGUCUGAGCGAAAGCAUAAGUAAUCCACCUGGAAGUACGACCGCAAGGUUGAAACUCAAAUGAAUUGACGGGGUCAUAGCUGUUUUCCU
Molecule: ribosomal RNA, 573 nt
Filed under: uncultured bacterium
Lineage: Bacteria
Description: partial 16S ribosomal RNA
Rfam family: Bacterial small subunit ribosomal RNA
Source: RNAcentral